GGAGAUUAUAACAGCACAUGGCCAAGAUGUUCAAAUGUUCAUAAAUGACCAGCAUGGUCAAAUAAUAAUAAUCAUAGUAGUUGUCGAGGGUGCAACAAGUCAGUAACACAAGAGUAAGUGUCAGUUGGCUUUUUCAUAGCCGAUCUUUGAGAGUAUCUCUACCGCUCCUGCUGUCUCUAGAGAGUUGAAAACAGCAGGUCUGGGACAGGUAGCACAUCCGGUGAACAGGUCAGGGUUCCAUAGCCGCAGGCAGAACAGUUGAAACUGGAGCAGCAGCACGGCCAGGUGGACUGGGGACAGCAAGGAGUCAUCAUGCCAGGUAGUCCUGAGGCAUGGUCCUAGGGCUCAGGUCCUCCGAGAGAAAGAAAGAAAGAGAGAAAGAGAGAAUUAGAGAGAGCAUAUUUAAAUUCACAUAGGACACCGGAUAAGACAAGAGAAAUACUCCAGAUGUAACAGACUGACCCUAGCCCCCCGACACAUAAACUACUGCAGCAUAAAUACUGGAGGCUGAGACAGGAGGGAUCAGAAGACACUGUGGCCCCAUCCGAUGAUACCCCCGGACAGGGCCAAACAGGCAGGAUAUAACCCCACCCACUUUGCCAAAGCACAGCCCCCACACCAUUAGACCUCUCCUUAGACCUCUCCUCUGAGGAGGGUCAUUAACAUUAGACCUCUCCUUCACUCUGAGGAGGGUCAUUAACAUUAGACCUCCCCUCUGAGGAGGGUCAUUAACAUUAGACCUCUCCUUCACUCUGAGGAGCAUCAUUAACAUUAGGCCUCUCCUCUGAGGAGGGUCAUUAACAUUAGGCCUCUCCUCCACUCUGAGGAGGGUCAUUAAUAUUAGGCCUCUCCUCCCCUCUGAGGUGGGUCACUAACAUUUGGCCUCCCCUCUGAGGAGGAUCAUUAACAUUCGGCCUCUCCUCUGAGGAGGAUCAUUAACAUUCGGCCUCUCCUCUGAGGAGGAUCAUUAACAUUCGGCCUCUCCUCUGAGGAGGAUCAUUAACAUUCGGCCUCUCCUCUGAGGAGGAUCAUUAACAUUCGGCUUCUCCUCUGAGGAGGAUCAUUAACAUUCGGCCUCUCCUCUGAGGAGGAUCAUUAACAUUCAGCCUCUCCUCUGAGGAGGAUCAUUAACAUUCGGCCUCUCCUCUGAGGAGGGUCAUUGACAUUAGGCCUCUCCUCCCCUCAUGGUGGCAACAUCAUCAUUAAGAUAGCCUGCAAUGAUAUGUAUUCACUUGGAUGCAAAUUAAUAUUUAAUAUGUGCCAGUUCCCAAACUAAUACUGUGAUGACUGUAAUAGUUUGUCUUCUGAUAAGGAAUCCUACUGAUUGUAGCCUUGAGGUACGUGCACUAAGGAGUAAUAUAAUUAAAUAAACAUACUUCUGACCUGGGUAAAAGAUACCGGCAAGCAUCAUGCUGUUUAUUCCUAAACAUCUAACCAAGGUUGGUGUCUUCAGAUCUAAAAAAAAGGGACUGAAAUGACAACCUCCCUCCCUUCCCAGACAGGGCAUUUAACGUCUGUCCCCACCACCUAUUCUGUUCUUCUGUGUGGGAUAUAAAUAGACAUAUAUUUAGCAUAUCAAAGGGGAGUCUGCAGAAAGAGAGGAAGAAGAAAAAUACAACCCCCUGUACUCCAAGAGCAAAUACUGUCCCUCUGCUAAACACACGCAUCCUACUGUAGCUCUACCUGUGUAGAGAAUUACCUUAGCACACAGCCCCUCAAAGAGAAAAUACUGUCCCUCUGCUAAACACAACACUGUCUGACGCAUCCUACUGUAGCUCUACCUGUGUAGAGAAUUACCUUAGCACACAGCCCCUCAAGGAGAAAAUACUGUCCCUCUGCAAAAACACACGCAUCCUACUGUAGCUCUACCUGUGUAGAGAAUUACCUUAGCACACAGCCCCUCAAGGCUAUUCUGCUGUUAUUUCAUAGCCUGUUGAAGAGCAAAGAUAUUAACAAAUGUUUCUGCAACAACAGACUACACGGCAUGCCUGAACCGUUUUCCACAGUACAAAAUGGGAGACUUUGAGAGUGUGAUGGUAAAUAAAUAUCAACAUUUAAGCUACUGCCAUGCAAGCAUUUAUUUUCAUUCCACUGCUUGACAGUGUAGAAUAUUCACGAGGCUCUUUGUGAAGUAGCCUACUAAUGCACUUGCAUUACGUAACCUAUAGCUGAUGUAACUGGGUCCAUAGGCUAUAUAGACAACCCAGUCGUUCGGCUUCAUGUGAUGCCAUGUAACCUUAUAAACUUUUUUUUUUGUAUAAUUGUAUCCUAGCCUACAAUACAGUCAACAUUCAGGAGUGCAUACUGUACUGUAACCUAUACGUACCAAGACAAUAAAGUAGGUAAAAUGUUCAGCCAGAUGAGGGCGCUACCUUUGAUUUCUACAUGUGAGAGAAACCUCUGCAGGGAGAAUCUCAAUUGUAUACUGUACUCCUCAAGUCCUCUCUCCUCACCUCCUUCUCAAAACCCUUUGGAGGAUGUCAGAGGGGAGGCCUCUGACUUUCUCAUCCAAUGGAUUUUGAGAAGGAGGCAAGGAGAGAGGACGCAAGGAUUAUGCAAUUGGGAUUCUCAUUGAGAUUCUCCCAAUAUCACACUGCCCAUAACGUCGGUUCACUGGCGCACCCAUGUAUCCUCAUGUCAAAACUGAAGGGGCAGGGAAAAUAGGAUACAUUCAUAUUACAAUAGCCUACUUUUACUGUCACUGUCAUUCAGACUUUACCUAUAAUUGAUUAAGCCUGUAUCUUGUUCUCCGCAUAGUCAAAAAAAUAAGCUUGUAGUGUUUUGUCACUGUGCCAUUAAAACGUUGUUCACUUGGAGAGCUCUUUGCGUUUCACACAUUUGGAGCUAUUGUCUCUCAAGUAUGAAUAUUAUUUGAACAAACAGGUGAAGUCUAGGCUAAAAUUGAGUGGUUUCUAUUAUUGACUUCACACGAGGGAGCAUCCACCUGUUGUCUGAAAACUAAAGUGAUGCUGAAUUCCAGUUGGGCUGCAUUUCCACAGGCAGCCAAAUUCAUAUCUUUUUUUCACAUUAGAUCUUUUCACAUAAGAUAUAUUUCAGAGCUGAUCUGAUUGGUUAAAGACCAACUAGUGACGUUUUUUUUAAAUCAGAAAUGGGCUUUUUACACAAGAACCCAAUUCUAAUAUUUUGCCUUUAUUGGUAAAUAACUGAUCUGAUGGGUCAAAAGACUAAUAAUUGGGAGAAAAAAAAUCUGAAUUAGGCUGCCUGUGUAAAUGCAGCCAUAAUGUCUAACAUAAAAUCGCUAUCCAAGUAGCCUACUCAAAAACAAUAUGAGCGGUAGUGUCUGUUUAUGUUACUUCCCUCAGCAAUGUUUGCCUUGCAUUGACUGCAGUCCACGUUGAAUAAUAGUCCACAUUAGAAUGCCGCUCACGUUCUCUGUCGUUUUAAACACUCCAAUCAUAAAAUAUAAUGCAGGCGCCGACCCCUCUUGAACUGUCAGGUAAGCGACUUCAUCCUCAAACGAAGUCUACCGUAUGAUCUCGAUCCAAUAGGCUAUAGCACAAUGCGUGAUGCAUAACCAUUUCUGUUGAUCAUCAUAACGACAAGAAACACAAUUCCAAAGCUGUUAAAUUAACCUACUACUAAAAUCAUUCAUGUCAAGGUCUGAAGUUUUCCGUUU
RNAcentral lists this long non-coding RNA (3637 nucleotides) under Salmo salar (Atlantic salmon). RNAcentral's name for it is "lncRNA (ENSSSAG00000116132.1)". The record is from RNAcentral. Lineage: Eukaryota; Metazoa; Chordata; Actinopteri; Salmoniformes; Salmonidae.